RNAcentral lists this non-coding RNA (184 nucleotides) under Pullulanibacillus sp. KACC 23026. RNAcentral's name for it is "6S RNA". It matches the Rfam family "6S / SsrS RNA". From Rfam's summary of the family: E. coli 6S RNA was the first non coding RNA to be sequenced, but its function was unknown until recently. It consists of 184 nucleotides that fold into an extended hairpin structure with a large single-stranded internal bulge. Lineage: Bacteria; Bacillati; Bacillota; Bacilli; Caryophanales; Sporolactobacillaceae. The record is from RNAcentral.
AGAGUCCUGAAGUGUUUGUAAAGGAACCAUAUGUUUUGACCGAACAUAGUUUUGAAGGGAGCCCAAUAGGUUUUCCACCGGCGUGCAUGCCUCUGUAACGUGGACGCACAAAAGUGGAAACAGGGCACCCACCUGCUUGGAGCGGGUUCAAAACUCGGGUUCUAGCGGCACAAUUGGGACUCUC